RNAcentral lists this ribosomal RNA (910 nucleotides) under uncultured bacterium. RNAcentral describes it as "bacterial SSU rRNA". It matches the Rfam family "Bacterial small subunit ribosomal RNA", at positions 33 to 937 of the family's 1533-position model. The record is from RNAcentral.
ACGCUAGCUACAGGCUUAACACAUGCAAGUCGAGGGGCAGCGGGAUUGAAGCUUGCUUCAAUUGCCGGCGACCGGCGCACGGGUGAGUAACGCGUAUCCAACCUUCCGUACACUCAGGGAUAGCCUUUCGAAAGAAAGAUUAAUACCUGAUGGUAUGAUGAGAUUGCAUGAUAGCAUCAUUAAAGAUUUAUCGGUGUACGAUGGGGAUGCGUUCCAUUAGGUAGUAGGCGGGGUAACGGCCCACCUAGCCAACGAUGGAUAGGGGUUCUGAGAGGAAGGUCCCCCACAUUGGAACUGAGACACGGUCCAAACUCCUACGGGAGGCAGCAGUGAGGAAUAUUGGUCAAUGGACGAGAGUCUGAACCAGCCAAGUAGCGUGAAGGAUGAAGGUCCUACGGAUUGUAAACUUCUUUUAUAAGGGAAUAAACCCUCCCACGUGUGGGAGCUUGUAUGUACCUUAUGAAUAAGCAUCGGCUAACUCCGUGCCAGCAGCCGCGGUAAUACGGAGGAUGCGAGCGUUAUCCGGAUUUAUUGGGUUUAAAGGGAGCGCAGACGGGUCGUUAAGUCAGCUGUGAAAGUUUGGGGCUCAACCUUAAAAUUGCAGUUGAUACUGGCGUCCUUGAGUGCGGUUGAGGUGUGCGGAAUUCGUGGUGUAGCGGUGAAAUGCUUAGAUAUCACGAAGAACUCCGAUUGCGAAGGCAGCACACUAAUCCGUAACUGACGUUCAUGCUCGAAAGUGUGGGUAUCAAACAGGAUUAGAUACCCUGGUAGUCCACACGGUAAACGAUGGAUACUCGCUGUUGGCGAUAUACUGUCAGCGGCUUAGCGAAAGCGUUAAGUAUCCCACCUGGGGAGUACGCCGGCAACGGUGAAACUCAAAGGAAUUGACGGAAUAGCUAAUUCUGCAGAU